This 786-nucleotide ribosomal RNA is filed under the name Pantoea ananatis. Its description in RNAcentral is "bacterial LSU rRNA". It matches the Rfam family "Bacterial large subunit ribosomal RNA", at positions 472 to 1258 of the family's 2925-position model. The record is from RNAcentral. Lineage: Bacteria; Pseudomonadati; Pseudomonadota; Gammaproteobacteria; Enterobacterales; Erwiniaceae.
ACUCCUGACUGACCGAUAGUGAACCAGUACCGUGAGGGAAAGGCGAAAAGAACCCCGGCGAGGGGAGUGAAACAGAACCUGAAACCGUGUACGUACAAGCAGUGGGAGCCUCUUUAUGGGGUGACUGCGUACCUUUUGUAUAAUGGGUCAGCGACUUAUAUUCUGUAGCAAGGUUAACCGUUUAGGGGAGCCGCAGGGAAACCGAGUCUUAACUGGGCGUUAAGUUGCAGGGUAUAGACCCGAAACCCGGUGAUCUAGCCAUGGGCAGGUUGAAGGUUGGGUAACACUAACUGGAGGACCGAACCGACUAAUGUUGAAAAAUUAGCGGAUGACCUGUGGCUGGGGGUGAAAGGCCAAUCAAACCGGGAGAUAGCUGGUUCUCCCCGAAAGCUAUUUAGGUAGCGCCUCGUGAACUCAUCUCCGGGGGUAGAGCACUGUUUCGGCUAGGGGGCCAUCCCGGCUUACCAACCCGAUGCAAACUGCGAAUACCGGAGAAUGUUAUCACGGGAGACACACGGCGGGUGCUAACGUCCGUCGUGAAGAGGGAAACAACCCAGACCGCCAGCUAAGGUCCCAAAGUCAUGGUUAAGUGGGAAACGAUGUGGGAAGGCCCAGACAGCCAGGAUGUUGGCUUAGAAGCAGCCAUCAUUUAAAGAAAGCGUAAUAGCUCACUGGUCGAGUCGGCCUGCGCGGAAGAUGUAACGGGGCUAAACCAUGCACCGAAGCUGCGGCAGCGACGCUUAUGCGUUGUUGGGUAGGGGAGCGUUCUGUAAGCCGUCGAAGGUG